This is an RNA transcript of Teleopsis dalmanni, 1608 nucleotides long. It is a transcript of the gene named zinc finger protein 724-like, with no coding region annotated. Lineage: Eukaryota; Metazoa; Arthropoda; Insecta; Diptera; Diopsidae. The record is from RefSeq and is a predicted model, not a curated record. The transcript has 3 exons.
UUAUUUUUAAUAGCAGCAAUUGAUUGCUUUUCUUAAAUUAACGCUAAUUAUUGUAUAAAAUUAGAAAUGGAAAGUGAUAUUGUGGUGCACAAUUACUUCUCUGAAAAAGAAAUACAGGACACCAAACAUGAAAUAAUAUUAAAUUUCAACGAUAUUUAUGAGUGUCGUUGCUGUGAGAUAUUUUUAACAAAGAAUAAAACAUUGAAAUUUCAUUGUUCAGUAUGUGAUGCUAUAUCCAACAAUUUUGACGAUAUGAAGACGCAUUUAACAAAAACACAUUUUCAAAACAUAGAACUUAAAGAAUUAUUUAUCUCAGAUGACGACUUCGCUGAAGGUUAUAAAAAUGAAUUCUACCAAGAAGAAUAUUUAGAGGACAUCAGUUUGAAUGUUGAAGAUAUAAUAGAAGAUCAAUCUUCGGUCAUAACUGAAGAUAUGCAGCAACGCAUAAAGAAAGAAGUGGAUAAUUGUUUAACUGAAGAAGAGGAAGAAGAAUUCUAUGUAAAAAAAGAAAUAGAUAAUUGUUCAACUGACGAAGAAUUUGAAUUUAUCAGUAAUGCUGCACCAAAAGCAGCAGAGUCGCCUUACAAGUGCAGUUCAACAACCUUUAAAACAAGUUGCCGUCCACCAGUUCCUUCCGAGCUACAAAAUCGCGUUCAGUUUGAUCCAACAAAUGAAGAACUCGAGUCAAACGAAGAACUUUCCAACUCAACUCUUGUAUUUGAUAAGGAGGAGGUUUCGUUAUACGAAAAUGUUAAUAAUGCCAAAGAAAUUUCAAACCAAGAUAUUAAAGCAAAAAAAAUAGAAAAUAAGACACAUUUAAUAUAUACCAAAAAAUAUUACUGUAAACACUGCAAUGAAAGUUUUCUAAUGAGAAAUAAAAUGUAUGCCCACGCUAGAUCUCAUAUAACAGAAAAAAAAUAUAAAUGUGAUAUUUGUGGCACGGCAUUUAAGGAAGCAUUUAAUUUACGUCAACAUAAAAAACGGCACACUGAUGAAAAGACGUUAUCAUGUAGUCUAUGUACAAAAAAAUUCUUUACACGCGCCGAAUUAAGAUUACAUGAACAACGUCAUAAAGGUGCUCGUCCAUUUAUGUGCACUGUUUGUGGUUUGACUUAUGCUACCGCUGGAUUGCUAACAGAACACAUGAAACGUCACACUAAUACACGACCCAAGAAGUGUGAUGUCUGUGCAAAAAGCUUUUAUAACAGUGCACAAUUAAAUUCGCACAUGUUAACUCAUCAACCAGAAGAACGUAACCAUAUUUGUAAAUUUUGUAAUGUAGGUUUCCAGCGUCGUAAAACACUCGUUGCACAUAUCAAAUUGCAUGAAAACAAAAAGGAAUACAAAUGCAGAAUAUGUCAAAUGGGUUUCAAUCAGAGGCCAGCACUUUAUAUGCAUCUUAAAAAGAAGCACGACAUUGCUCAAAAAAAUGAAGACAAUUCAGAAGAUAAAUAGAAUCUCCACAACAACAAUGUACUAUUACUCACUAUAUUAAUGAGUAAUAGAAAGAAAAUUAUAUUGCAAAGACCCUUGAUGAAAUGGAAGAACUUAAUAUACGUGAGUCAAUAAAUUCGUCAACAAAUACAACUUCAGAAAUAAAAAAUAUUG